ACGACGCUGGCGGCGUGCCUAAUACAUGCAAGUCGAGCAGAACAGAAGGGAGCUUGCUCCCGGAUGUUAGCGGCGGACGGGUGAGUAACACGUGGGUAACCUGCCUGUAAGACUGGGAUAACUCCGGGAAACCGGAGCUAAUACCGGAUAGUUCCUUGAACCGCAUGGUUCAAGGAUGAAAGACGGUUUCGGCUGUCACUUACAGAUGGACCCGCGGCGCAUUAGCUAGUUGGUGGGGUAAUGGCUCACCAAGGCGACGAUGCGUAGCCGACCUGAGAGGGUGAUCGGCCACACUGGGACUGAGACACGGCCCAGACUCCUACGGGAGGCAGCAGUAGGGAAUCUUCCGCAAUGGACGAAAGUCUGACGGAGC
RNAcentral lists this ribosomal RNA (373 nucleotides) under uncultured Bacillus sp. Its description in RNAcentral is "bacterial SSU rRNA". It matches the Rfam family "Bacterial small subunit ribosomal RNA", at positions 33 to 392 of the family's 1533-position model. The record is from RNAcentral. Lineage: Bacteria; Bacillati; Bacillota; Bacilli; Caryophanales; Bacillaceae.